AUUGAACGCUGGCGGCAGGCCUAACACAUGCAAGUCGAACGGUAACAGGAAACAGCUUGCUGUUUCGCUGACGAGUGGCGGACGGGUGAGUAAUGUCUGGGAAACUGCCUGAUGGAGGGGGAUAACUACUGGAAACGGUAGCUAAUACCGCAUAACGUCGCAAGACCAAAGAGGGGGACCUUCGGGCCUCUUGCCAUCGGAUUGGACCAGAUGGGAUUAGCUAGUAGGUGGGGUAACGGCUCACCUAGGCUACGAUCCCUAGCUGGUCUGAGAGGAUGACCAGCCACACUGGAACUGAGACACGGUCCAGACUCCUACGGGAGGCAGCAGUGGGGAAUAUUGCACAAUGGGCGCAAGCCUGAUGCAGCCAUGUCGCGUGUAUGAAGAAGGCCUUCGGGUUGUAAAGUACUUUCAGCGGGGAGGAAGGGAGUAAAGUUAAUACCUUUGCUCAUUGACGUUACCCGCAGAAGAAGCACCGGCUAACUCCGUGCCAGCCGCCGCGGUAA
Molecule: ribosomal RNA, 506 nt
Filed under: uncultured bacterium
Lineage: Bacteria
Description: partial 16S ribosomal RNA
Rfam family: Bacterial small subunit ribosomal RNA
Source: RNAcentral